GUAAAGUACCCCCUAGCUUACGACGGUAUNGGCUUGAGAGAGGGAGCCCAGAAGUUGGAUCUGAGACACGAAUCCAGGCCCUACGGGNGCAGCAGUCGCGAAAACUUCACACUGGGGGCAACCCCGAUGAGGGAAAUCCUAGUGCUAGGACAUUUGUCUAGCUUUUCUCAAGCGUAGAUAACUGAGGAAUAAGGGCUGGGUAAGACGGGUGCCAGCCGCCGCGGUAAUACCUGCAGCCCAAGUGGUGGUCGAUUUUAUUGAGUCUAAAACGUUCGUAGCCGGUUUGGUAAAUCUUUGGGUAAAUCGGGAAGCUUAACUUUCCGACUUCCGAAGAGACUGUCAAACUUGGGACCGGGAGAGGCUAGAGGUACUUCUGGGGUAGGGGUAAAAUCCUGUAAUCCUAGAAGGACCACCGGAGGCGAAGGCGUCUAGCUAGAACGGAUCCGACGGUGAGGGACGAAGCCCUGGGUCGCAAACGGGAUUAGAUACCCCGGUAGUCCAGGGUGUAAACGCUGCAGACUUGGUGUUGGGGACCCUUCGGGGGUGUUCGGUGCCGGAGAGAAGUUGUUAAGUCUGCUACUUGGGGAGUACGUCCGCAAGGAUGAAACUUAAAGGAAUUGGCGGGGGAGCACCGCAACGGGAGGAACGUGCGGUUUAAUAGGAUUCAACACCGGAAAACUCACCAGCAGCGACUAUUACAUGAAAGUCAGGCCGAUGACCUUACUAGAUUUUUAGAGAGGUGGUGCAUGGCCGUCGUCAGUUCGUACCCUAAGGCGUUCUCUUAAGUGAGAUAACGAACGAGGCCCUCACCAAUAAUUGCUACUGCGUCGUCCGCGGCGUAGGCACAUUAUUGGGACCGCUGGCGCUAAGUCAGAGGUAGGAGAGGUCAACGGUAGGUCAGUAUGCCCCGAAUCUGCUGGGCUACACGCGCGUUACAAAGGGCGGGACAAUGGGCUCAAAAACGCCGAGAGGCGAAGGCUAAUCAUCCGCANANC
Molecule: ribosomal RNA, 995 nt
Filed under: uncultured methanogenic archaeon
Lineage: Archaea; Methanobacteriati; Methanobacteriota
Description: bacterial SSU rRNA
Rfam family: Archaeal small subunit ribosomal RNA
Source: RNAcentral